RNAcentral lists this unclassified non-coding RNA (523 nucleotides) under Hevea brasiliensis (rubber tree). The record is from RNAcentral. Lineage: Eukaryota; Viridiplantae; Streptophyta; Magnoliopsida; Malpighiales; Euphorbiaceae.
AUUCUUUGCAUCAUAUGAAUUUUUCAAAAGAUUAUUUUCUUUGGAAAAUCCACAAUUUAAUUCUCAAAGGAUUCAGUACAAACAAAGCAUGGAAGAUGAUCCAACACAAUUGCAAUUGCCAUGAUGUUCCGCAUCAUUGGCAUCCUGAUCUUGACUAUCACCAGCACAAAGGUUGCAUGGUUUGCAUCAUAUGAGAAAUACUGAUACCCUUUUGUGAUGAGAUGAGAUUAAGAAGGGAGACAUGCCCCAUCAAUGAGCAUAGAUGGGACUGCGUAUCUACGAAACCAUAAAUGGAUGCAAUACCCAACAUGGAAUGGCGAAAUUUUUGGGUUCGCCAUUUUGUGGUGCUGAAAUGAUGGCAAAUUAUUGUAUACACUACAAAAAAUUAUGACUCAUAUAUUUAGAGAGAUUGCAUAUGCACCAGUGUACUUUUGAAAUGGGUAUUGCCGGGCUUGCCAUUUUGAAGGAAACAUUUGCAAAUAAGUUCAAUAUUUAUAAUAUUUUUAUAUUUGAAUUACUUAAA